Molecule: ribosomal RNA, 497 nt
Filed under: uncultured bacterium
Lineage: Bacteria
Description: partial 16S ribosomal RNA
Rfam family: Bacterial small subunit ribosomal RNA
Source: RNAcentral
GAUGAACGCUGGCGGCGUGCCUAAUACAUGCAAGUCGAGCGAACGGACGAGAAGCUUGCUUCUCUGAUGUUAUCGGCGGACGGGUGAGUAACACGUGGAUAACCUACCUAUAAGACUGGGAUAACUUCGGGAAACCGGAGCUAAUACCGGAUAAUAUUUUGAACCGCAUGGUUCAAAAGUGAAAGACGGUCUUGCUGUCACUUAUAGAUGGAUCCGCGCUGCAUUAGCUAGUUGGUAAGGUAACAGCUUACCAAGGCAACGAUGCAUAGCCGACCUGAGAGGGUGAUCGGCCACACUGGAACUGAGACACGGUCCAGACUCCUACGGGAGGCAGCAGUAGGGAAUCUUCCGCAAUGGGCGAAAGCCUGACGGAGCAACGCCGCGUGAGUGAUGAAGGUCUUCGGAUCGUAAAACUCUGUUAUUAGGGAAGAACAUAUGUGUAAGUAACUGUGCACAUCUUGACGGUACCUAAUCAGAAAGCCACGGCUAACUACGUG